GACGAACGCUGGCGGCGUGCUUAACACAUGCAAGUCGAACGGUGAACCUCUUCGGAGGGGAUCAGUGGCGAACGGGUGAGUAACACGUGGGCAACCUGCCCCCGGCUCUGGGAUAACUCCAAGAAAUUGGGGCUAAUACCGGAUGUUCACCGCUUCCCGCAUGGGUGGUGGUGGAAAGGGUUUCCGGCUGGGGAUGGGCCCGCGGCCUAUCAGCUUGUUGGUGGGGUAGUGGCCUACCAAGGCGACGACGGGUAGCCGGCCUGAGAGGGUGACCGGCCACCAGGGGACUGAGACACGGCCCAGACUCCUACGGGAGGCAGCAGGGGGGAAUAUUGCGCAAUGGGCGGAAGCCUGACGCAGCGACGCCGCGUGGGGGAAGACGGCCUUCGGGUUGGAAACCUCUUUCAGCAGGGACGAAGCGCAAGUGACGGUACCUGCAGAAGAAGCACCGGCCAACUACGUG
This 463-nucleotide ribosomal RNA is filed under the name uncultured bacterium. RNAcentral describes it as "partial 16S ribosomal RNA". It matches the Rfam family "Bacterial small subunit ribosomal RNA", at positions 28 to 507 of the family's 1533-position model. The record is from RNAcentral.